This is a long non-coding RNA of Thamnophis elegans (Western terrestrial garter snake), 1918 nucleotides long. RefSeq lists it as uncharacterized. The transcript is spliced from 3 exons. The record is from RefSeq and is a predicted model, not a curated record. NCBI's taxonomy places the organism in Eukaryota, Metazoa, Chordata, Lepidosauria, Squamata, Natricidae.
AAUGUUGCAAUCCUAAAAAUGGAAUCCAUCGGCUUCUUUAAAUAAAGACAGGGUGUGAUUGACAGUUCUUUUUGAUUCAGAUCUUCAGGUGUUUACAAGAUGCCAAACAUUGUCUGUGUCUGUGACUCUGUCUGUCUGUCCAUCUAUCCAUCCGUCCGCCCGUCCGUCCGUCCAUCCAUCCAUCCAUCCAUCCAUCCAUUUAUGUAACUGUCCAUAUCACCAAAAUGAUUCUGAUCCCUUACAACAAAACUAAAAAAACCGGAAUAAAUACUACAAAUCACUAAUUGAUUAUAAAAACAUUUUAAAAACUAUAAAAACAAACAAGGAAAGAACAAAUGAAAUUUAUAAUAAUGGAGGCAUCUCACAAGUUUAUGAUUAAUUAUCUGGGAAAAUCAGGAACGGUAAUGUCAUGAAAGGAUACAUGGAUGUAGAAAAUUACUUUUAGAGACAUUUUAGAGCUAUUCCACAUGUAGGAUGAUCACUGUGACAGGAGUGUCUUUUUUCAUAUUACCUCUUCUCACGUAGAAAAUACAAUUUUAAAUGCCUGAGGUUGGCUAGGUAGAUAUUAUAUUAAAGGUAACUAACUAAUUAUAAAUAUUAACAUCACAAGAAGGUAUUCAGGGAUUAAAUUAAAUUGAAAUAUAUUUCAUUAUUAAGAUACAUUUAGACCUAUGUAUUGCCAAGAAUUGGUAUCAUUGUUACUAACAGACUUUUUUUUAAUAGAAAACUGACUGUUUUCCUGUGCACUGCUUGAAGAGUCCAAGCCUAGAGUAUAUUAAGAUGGAGCUCAUUGAAAUAGUCCCUGAACGGGCAGACUGAGUAAAAAAUCUAGCGUUAACGCGCCCCAGGAGGCGUGGUCAAGGAAAAGAUUCCUCAGUCCCAGGGCAACCAGACUGAUUUAACUGCUUGAACUCUCCCACAGUGCACAGAAAAGGACCCUUCAGGAAAUAAAAGGGGAGACCCAAAAGCUUUUGGUAUGGCCCCUAGAGAUCUCCAAACAAAUUGUUAACAGAUUACAAACUUUCAGUGUAUCAGAAGCGGGAGCAUCAUUGAAUAUGUGAUUGGAAGGAGUUGAGAAGGCAUUUCUAAAUAAUACACCUUCUAUGGUUUUGCAAUAUGCUUCAUGUUCAAAGCCAUGAAUAUGGGUCAUUGUAAAAAGGACCAAAAUGAAACUAUGUAAAAAGCUCUAUCUUGUCCUGAGCUUAACCCAUUGGGUAUGACGGGUGUGUUGGAAUAAAGUGAAUUUCCCCGAUUAGUUAUAAUAUGAAUUCAUGCCAAUUAACACUGAUGAAAAUCAGCCAGAAGAAGCUGAGAUAGAUUGUCCAACACGUCAACACAUUCCUUCAAAGGUUCCUCAGAAAAAGAACAUUUUCUAUUCAUUCUUUGGUAAUUGCCGACAAAGUCUUCCUGCUUUCCAAUAUAUCAGAAAGACGGAGAGAAUUACUCCUGUAAAUUAUAUAAUAAGAUUUUACUUAUAUCUUGUGGGUGACUGCCUGGAGUAUUACAGUGUACUUGAUGGAUUUUCAUUAAAUACAGAAUUUAACACAUUAAUAUAAUAAAUGAUUUUAAUAUUAUUAUCUUGGGAUCUUGCAAAAGCAGACAGUUGUUAAGCAAUAAUUAUAAUUUCUGCUAUUUGUUCAUAGCAUUUCUGAUCCACUGACUACAAUAGAAACAUGAGAAUAAGCAUUUAAAAAAAACACUAUAAAGGUGUCUAUUAAUGAUGUGACGUUAACUGUCUCAUAUUGACAGGGGACAAGUACAACUGUACAUAGUUGACAUGGUGAAUCUAUAGAAUGUCAGUUUGUACAUAUUUGUGUGGGUGGGUGUUUAUGUGCGUGCAUGUGUUACCCUCAAACAGAUGCCAAAUAUUUGCUUUAAUAGAGUGAAUGCCAAGUUGCAUUUCAUGAUACACUUGCAU